CUGGAACUCCUUCCCUUUGCAGUUGGAUAUCAUCUGUGAAAGCAGUCAGUUAUGCAAGAUCCAUUAGUUUGCAAGCUUCCUGAAGCAGAAACCCUAUCUGAUGCCUCUUUGGGAACUGCCAUGGCUUGUAUGGUGAGUCGUCCUUAAUCUGUUUCAUCCCAUGUUUUUUCUGCUUCUCUGGUGGUUUGGAAAAGUCUCUUGGAUUCUCAUGGGCUAAGUGAGAAGCACCAACCUGUCCUUUUCGGACGCAUGUACCACAGAAGGUAUCACAGAGUCCACUGACGACUUGGCUGAGGCAAAGGACAGCUUCUACCACGCCGAUCCCCAGCAGGAUGGAG
Physeter macrocephalus (sperm whale) is the source of this 338-nucleotide long non-coding RNA. RefSeq lists it as uncharacterized. The record is from RefSeq and is a predicted model, not a curated record. Lineage: Eukaryota; Metazoa; Chordata; Mammalia; Artiodactyla; Physeteridae. The transcript has 4 exons.